AUUGAACGCUGGCGGCAUGCCUUACACAUGCAAGUCGAACGGCAGCGGACCUUCGGGUGCCGGCGAGUGGCGAACGGGUGAGUAAUGCAUCGGAACGUACCUUUCAGUGGGGGAUAACGUAGCGAAAGUUACGCUAAUACCGCAUAUUCUGUGAGCAGGAAAGCAGGGGAUCGCGAGACCUUGCGCUCAUUGAGCGGCCGAGGUCAGAGUCGCUAGUUGGUGAGGUAAAGGCUCACCAAGGCGACGAUCUGUAGCGGGUCUGAGAGGAUGAUCCGCCACACUGGGACUGAGACACGGCCCAGACUCCUACGGGAGGCAGCAGUGGGGAAUUUUGGACAAUGGGGGCAACCCUGGUCCAGCCAUGUCGCGUGAGUGAAGAAGGCCUUCGGGUUGUAAAGCUCUUUCGGCCGGGAAGAAAUCGCACAGGCUAAUACCUUGUGUGGAUGACGGUACCGGAAUAAGAAGCACCGGCUAACUACGUGCCAGCCGCCGCCGUAA
This 498-nucleotide ribosomal RNA is filed under the name uncultured bacterium. RNAcentral's name for it is "partial 16S ribosomal RNA". It matches the Rfam family "Bacterial small subunit ribosomal RNA", at positions 30 to 523 of the family's 1533-position model. The record is from RNAcentral.